UGAUAUGCAGAAUAUCUGAUAUACGGUCC
This 29-nucleotide non-coding RNA is filed under the name Rattus norvegicus (Norway rat). The record is from RNAcentral. Lineage: Eukaryota; Metazoa; Chordata; Mammalia; Rodentia; Muridae.